RNAcentral lists this long non-coding RNA (296 nucleotides) under Brassica rapa (field mustard). RNAcentral describes it as "long non-coding RNA (BRAP_LNC000726)". The record is from RNAcentral. Lineage: Eukaryota; Viridiplantae; Streptophyta; Magnoliopsida; Brassicales; Brassicaceae.
UUUUUAUUAGGUUUUAGCUAAAUUAUUGAUUUAUUAUUUAUUUUUACCCUUAGUUAAUAUUAUAUAUAUUAAAAAAAAAUUAUUUUAGUAAUAUUAAAUUUCUAUUUUAUAUUAAAAUUUAGUUAGUUUUUCUUAUUUGUCAUAUUUUAUUAGGUUUUAGACUUUUAGAUAGGUUAUUGAUUUAUUAUUAAUUUCUAACUGAUUCGCUAAUGUGUUAAUUAAAACAAUACCCUUAAUGAAUUUUAUAUAUAAUUAAAAACGAAUUUUAUUUUAAUCAUAUAAAAUUUAUAUGUUAU